CAGCCAAGUCAGCAGCUGCCCCUUCCCCGC
This 30-nucleotide non-coding RNA is filed under the name Homo sapiens (human). The record is from RNAcentral. Lineage: Eukaryota; Metazoa; Chordata; Mammalia; Primates; Hominidae.